This 693-nucleotide ribosomal RNA is filed under the name Bifidobacterium ruminantium. Its description in RNAcentral is "bacterial SSU rRNA". It matches the Rfam family "Bacterial small subunit ribosomal RNA", at positions 19 to 719 of the family's 1533-position model. The record is from RNAcentral. Lineage: Bacteria; Bacillati; Actinomycetota; Actinomycetes; Bifidobacteriales; Bifidobacteriaceae.
CUGGCUCAGGAUGAACGCUGGCGGCGUGCUUAACACAUGCAAGUCGAACGGGAUCCAAGCAGCUUGCUGUUUGGUGAGAGUGGCGAACGGGUGAGUAAUGCGUGACCGACCUGCCCCAUACACCGGAAUAGCUCCUGGAAACGGGUGGUAAUGCCGGAUGCUCCAGUUGGAUGCAUGUCCUUCUGGGAAAGAUUCUAUCGGUAUGGGAUGGGGUCGCGUCCUAUCAGGUAGUCGGCGGGGUAACGGCCCACCGAGCCUACGACGGGUAGCCGGCCUGAGAGGGCGACCGGCCACAUUGGGACUGAGAUACGGCCCAGACUCCUACGGGAGGCAGCAGUGGGGAAUAUUGCACAAUGGGCGCAAGCCUGAUGCAGCGACGCCGCGUGCGGGAUGACGGCCUUCGGGUUGUAAACCGCUUUUGACUGGGAGCAAGCCCUUCUGGGUGAGUGUACCUUUCUAAUAAGCACCGGCUAACUACGUGCCACCAGCCGCGGUAAUACGUAGGGUGCAAGCGUUAUCCGGAAUUAUUGGGCGUAAAGGGCUCGUAGGCGGUUCGUCGCGUCCGGUGUGAAAGUCCAUCGCUUAACGGUGGAUCAGCGCCGGGUACGGGCGGGCUUGAGUGCGGUAGGGGAGACUGGAAUUCCCGGUGUAACGGUGGAAUGUGUAGAUAUCGGGAAGAACACCAAUGGCGAA